AACGAACGCUGGCGGCAUGCCUAACACAUGCAAGUCGAACGAGACCUUCGGGUCUAGCGGCGCACGGGUGCGUAACGCGUGGGAACCUGCCCUUAGGUUCGGAAUAACUCCCCGAAAGGGGUGCUAAUACCGGAUAAUGUCUUCGGACCAAAGAUUUAUCGCCUUUGGAUGGGCCCGCGUUGGAUUAGCUAGUUGGUAGGGUAAAAGCCUACCAAGGCGACGAUCCAUAGCUGGUCUGAGAGGAUGAUCAGCCACACUGGGACUGAGACACGGCCCAGACUCCUACGGGAGGCAGCAGUGGGGAAUAUUGGACAAUGGGCGAAAGCCUGAUCCAGCAAUGCCGCGUGAGUGAUGAAGGCCUUAGGGUUGUAAAGCUCUUUUACCCGGGAUGAUAAUGACAGUACCAGGAGAAUAAGCUCCGGCUAACUCCGUG
RNAcentral lists this ribosomal RNA (433 nucleotides) under uncultured bacterium. RNAcentral's name for it is "partial 16S ribosomal RNA". It matches the Rfam family "Bacterial small subunit ribosomal RNA", at positions 29 to 507 of the family's 1533-position model. The record is from RNAcentral.